RNAcentral lists this ribosomal RNA (887 nucleotides) under uncultured bacterium. Its description in RNAcentral is "bacterial SSU rRNA". It matches the Rfam family "Bacterial small subunit ribosomal RNA", at positions 21 to 884 of the family's 1533-position model. The record is from RNAcentral.
GGCUCAGAACGAACGCUGGCGGCGUGCCUAACACAUGCAAGUCGAGCGAGAAAGUCCGCAAGGAUGAGUAAAGCGGCGCACGGGUGCGUAACACGUGGGUAAUCUGCCCUGGAGCCCGGAAUAACUCCCCGAAAGGGGUGCUAAUGCCGGAUGAGACCACGGGAGCUCCGGCUCUCGCGGGAAAAGGUGGCCUCUGUACACAAGCUAUCACUCCAGGAUGAGCCCGCGGCCCAUCAGCUCGUUGGCGGGGUAACGGCCCACCAAGGCGACGACGGGUAGCUGGUCUGAGAGGACGAUCAGCCACACUGGAACUGAGACACGGUCCAGACUCCUACGGGAGGCAGCAGUGGGGAAUCUUGCGCAAUGGGCGAAAGCCUGACGCAGCAACGCCGCGUGUGUGAUGAAGGUCUUCGGAUCGUAAAGCACUGUCGGGAGGGAAGAACAGGCCCGUAGCGAACAGCUGCGGGCUUUGACGGUACCUCCAAAGGAAGCACCGGCUAACUCUGUGCCAGCAGCCGCGGUAAUACAGAGGGUGCAAGCGUUGUUCGGAAUUAUUGGGCGUAAAGCGCGUGUAGGCGGCCCCGCAAGUUGGGUGUGAAAGCCCUCGGCUCAACCGAGGAAGUGCGCCCAAAACUACGAGGCUUGAGUACCGGAGAGGAUGGCGGAAUACCCGGUGUAGAGGUGAAAUUCGUAGAUAUCGGGUGGAACACCAGCGGCGAAGGCGGCCAUCUGGACGGAUACUGACGCUGAGACGCGAAAGCGUGGGGAGCAAACAGGAUUAGAUACCCUGGUAGUCCACGCCGUAAACGAUGAGCGCUAGGUGUUGUGGGUGUUGACCCCCGCAGUGCCGCAGCUAACGCAUUAAGCGCUCCGCCCUGGGAAGUACG